UGCGUAGGCGGGCUAAUUAGUCAGUGGUGAAAACCUGCAGCUUAACUGUAGACUUGCCAUUGAUACUGUUAGUCUUGAAUACGGUCAAGGUAGGCGGAAUGUGUAAUGUAGCGGUGAAAUGCUUAGAUAUUACACAGAACACCGAUUGCGAAGGCAGCUUACUGGGCCAUUACUGACGCUGAGGCACGAAAGCGUGGGGAGCGAACAGGAUUAGAUACCCUGGUAGUCC
RNAcentral lists this ribosomal RNA (229 nucleotides) under uncultured bacterium. RNAcentral describes it as "partial 16S ribosomal RNA". It matches the Rfam family "Bacterial small subunit ribosomal RNA", at positions 568 to 796 of the family's 1533-position model. The record is from RNAcentral.